GUAGGUGGCAAGCGUUGUCCGGAAUUAUUGGGCGUAAAGCGCGCGCAGGUGGGUUCUUUAGGGUCUGAUGUGAAAGACCCCCGGGCUCAACCGGGGAGGGUCAUUGGAAACUGGGGAACUUGAGUGCAGGAGAGGAAAGUGGAAUUCCACGUGUAGCGGUGAAAUGCGUAGAUAUGUGGAGGAAGACCAGUGGCGAAGGCGACUUUCUGGCCUGUAACUGACACUGAGGCGCGAAAGCGUGGGGAGCAAACAGGAUUAGAUACCCUGGUAGUCCACGCCGUAAACGAUGAGUGCUAAGUGUUGGGGGGGUUUCCGCCCCUCAGUGCUGCAGCUAACGCAUUAAGCACUCCGCCUGGGGAGUACGGUCGCAAGACUG
This 376-nucleotide ribosomal RNA is filed under the name uncultured organism. RNAcentral describes it as "partial 16S ribosomal RNA". It matches the Rfam family "Bacterial small subunit ribosomal RNA", at positions 527 to 896 of the family's 1533-position model. The record is from RNAcentral.